GGAACUGCGAUACGUAGAGGUGUGAAUGCGAGGAAGCGCUUUCGGGAUGAGGGCCAAUCAACACGAGUACCAUCUGAAAAGUGGACCUCCCGGAUAAGGGUUAAUCGGAUGAGAAUUAAUUCGUCGCCGCGGUAUCGUGUCUUCGCGACCGUGACUUCGCGAAGCCUGAGAAAGACAGCCGGAUUGCCGCCGACGUUAUCCCUUGGGGAGAGAGUGUAUCGCGCGCGUGCGUGUGCGUUCGCGUUAAGGUGCGAGCAGUCCCUUUCGAAAGUUAAAAGGUAAAAGCGAAGAGAGUGUGUGUUUGUGCGAAUGCUGGCUUCCCUACUUAACGUCACCACUGUCGUACAACGUACACUAGCUACAAUCACGUGCGGGAGUCGCUUGAGUGAGAGAAGAACCUCGUAGGAAGAACUCCUGCGAGUAAACAUUUACUACCCUUUUCGACGUGAAAACGACGAAGUGAUUUGGUGCAUACCCUACACACACGCAAUACGCAUUGCCCUCGCGCUCUACGGACGGAGGGGAAAGCCCUCCCGGUCUCCCUCCCCCGCCCCGUGCUUCUCGCGUCGCGAACGUGCGUGAUACAGGAAAUAUACGAACGCGACAUCCGCGAGACAGCCUUCUCCGGCGCGCCCGCGCUGAUGAUCCUUCGGAGGGAGAAACGAAAAAGCGGUGCGACCCCGUGCAUGGUCAAACGUAUUAACGCACAAAACGCACAUGCUCCGCGUGAGCGUUCAAUCAAGCGAGAACAAAAAAAAAUAAAAGUUACGUUAAAUAGGCACAUAUAUGUAUAUGUAUAUAUAUUACAAUUGUUCUUUAUUACCUAAAAUAUAUGCACUUUGAAAAUAUCGUCGAAAGACUUAGAAAGGCAGGCAAGGGGCAAAACGACAUUCGGGAGCCAAUGAUUGGAGGGGGUGCGAACAAAAAGUUUCUUUUUUUUUUUAUCCAGGGACAAGGACGCCGGCGAUCCUACUGAGCAGAUCACGAUGAUACAAAGAAUGAGCAGGUUUCGUCGUCGAAUUGUAUCGCCGGUCGCAUUUGAUUAACAGAACGAGUGCUCUAGCAAAUCUCGAAAUAACAAUGGCGAUCAGUCCCAAAAAUCAAUUUCGAUCGGCUUGUACAAUAGGUUUCUUUUUUUUUCCACUUUUCAGGUGAAUUUACACGAAGAUCCUGACGGGAUAAUCGCGAUAACAACAACAUGUGCGACGAAACAAAAUGACUUAUAAACCAUCUUGGCCAAAUCAUUGCUGUAUUCGCACAUAUUCAUAUUAUAGCUCUAUCUAUAGUACAUAAAACAAUAACACUAAAAAUCAUUUAAUUCGAGUAAUUCUAUUUUUAAUUAAUAUGAUUUUUCUUGUAUAUAUAGUAAAUUAUUGUAUUUAAACGCACGCUUACGCCUAGCUGCAUAUGAUUUUUUCUUAUUUGUGAUUUCUUCUUUUUCUUCUUUAAUAAUAUAUAUAAUAUAAUAAUAUACUAUGUCGCAUAUAAAAAACAAUUACUUAAUAUAGAGUACAAGAUCGUUCCUUAGUUAAGUUUACAGAUUUUUUGUUUUUCGCAACUAUUUAUAUAAACGUAAGACGUCAUCCAUCUCUAAAAUGAACAUGCUUCCGCCGCUCCCAGAAUAAUAUACGAAAAUCAAGAUACAAGAGAAAAAUCUUCGCGCCGAUUCGUCAAAAUAUCAAGGAAGAGAA
Wasmannia auropunctata (little fire ant) is the source of this 1691-nucleotide long non-coding RNA. RefSeq lists it as uncharacterized. The transcript has 2 exons. NCBI's taxonomy places the organism in Eukaryota, Metazoa, Arthropoda, Insecta, Hymenoptera, Formicidae. The record is from RefSeq and is a predicted model, not a curated record.